This is a long non-coding RNA of Toxorhynchites rutilus septentrionalis, 2247 nucleotides long. RefSeq lists it as uncharacterized. NCBI's taxonomy places the organism in Eukaryota, Metazoa, Arthropoda, Insecta, Diptera, Culicidae. The transcript is spliced from 9 exons. The record is from RefSeq and is a predicted model, not a curated record.
AUUUUUAGAUAAUAAUUAUAAUGGAGUACAAAAAAUCCAAAAUUCUACCUCGUCUUCUUCAGCAUUUUUGCUCUGUUUUUUUUUUUCGAAACAUUUCCGCUCUUUUCAUCUUCUUUACAGCAAUGGUCUCCUCAAUCGGUUCUGUGAAAAUAAUAAAAAAAAUUGUGUAAUAAAUUUUGAAUAAUGAACGUAAUUUCUCAAUUCAAAAUCAAACGCAUUUUGCCUCAGCUUCUUCAGAUGAGAAUUUUUUUUUUCGUGCUGUUCUCAUCGCGUUUCUUGGUAUUUUUUUCUACUCAGCUCACCUUCUUUAUUUGUUUUUUUUUAGGCAGAGGUUCUUCGGCUUCGGAGCUACCAAGUCUUUUUUGUUAGGAUCGGAACAUAAAUCUCGAACUUGUUUAAAAAGGUACCAUAGCCGUUCAAGAGACAACCCUUCCGGUUGCAACUUUUGGAUGCCGGAUAAGGGAGGAAUUUCAGUCGUCACUAAAUCAAAGCUCACUUCUUCAGUGUCUUGAAAUUCUUUAUACGUGUUGCCAUCUACCGUGAAUAGGAAAUGGUGAUUUUUCGUAAUACCUGAGAACAUAACACAACAAAAUUGAAAUCAACUUUCAGUAUGAAGCAAAAAAAAAAUUGAGUUCAGGUUUCAGUAACCUUUUAGAGGUUUGUUGAAUGAAGCGAAGUCCGUAGCAAAAACGUAGAAAGGAACAUCUUUACAAUCAACAGCAAGAUUGUGACCACUUUGAGUUGACUUGAUCACAGAUUCACGAAAAUCAUCAAAACAAUCGACAUUAUGACGACAGUAGUUCAUUUUGAGCAAUCCAAACGUUCUAUCAGGCGAAAAUUUGGUGUGACUCGUUACCAAAAAGUGGAAUUCGAUUCUUUCGUUCAGACCCAAGCGGACACGAUUUGCCAAGUGAUUUAUAACUGAGGGACUCAGAAUGCAAGGGGUGUAAGUGACUUGAUCGAUUUCUCUUCAUCAACUUUUUGUUUAGUAAAUAACUCAGCUGCAAAAACGUUCCAAUUUAAGUUUGCUAUAGAAUCUGAUAGAUGAACUUCUGACUAAUCUUCCACAUUGUCAAAUACAGCUGGGAAUGUAUUUGCAGCUAAGUUAUGACCAAAAGAGAGAGUCGAUGUAGAGAAAUCGAUCAAAUCCCUUACCCCCCUUUCAUUCUAAGCCCCUCAACUGUGUUGUUCUUAUUUUGACCUACACAUCCAGUUUCCUAUAUUUUCGAGCGGUUAUAGGUACAAUGUGGACCGAGUGAAGUGAAGUGCUACAAAAGUGCUGGAAUCGUACCCCGCCUUGCCUCCCACAGGCAGCACUGUUCACAGUUUCAGCUAUAAUCACAAUAAAACUACACGAAAUCGUCAUCACUGCAGCACUGCAGAGUUUUUUUCCCUCGUUGAACUGUCACAACACAACAUAACGGUUGCAUUGAACAAAUCACCGGAUAACACAGCAGAUAAUUCUAACAGAGUAUUUUACAUUCAUGAAAGCUCCAUUUCAGCAGCACUCAGUCAACACAGGUUAAAUAGUAUUUGUGUAAUUCGUAUUGACAUCCAUCGUCCCAACAUAAGCGAAAUUCAUAAUAAAUACAGAUAUUUCCUCAUAUUGUCAAUCAUCACCCCAGCAUCAGCAGAAUUGAUAGUAAAUACUGGCAUUUCAUUAUAUUACCUUCCAUCCUCCCAUCAUCAGCAGGAGUCAUAAUUUAUACUGGACUGCUAUCCAUAGUCUUAGCAUCAGCAAAAUCAUAGUGAAUACAGGGGAGUAUUAUGUUUUUUUUUCAAAAUUUAAUUAUUAAACAAAUUAUAUUUACUUUUUACUAAUUUAUUUUUGCAUACAUUUACUAACAUUUUUCAUAACAUUCUUUCACAAUCACAACAGUUUAUACAUCAAAUACCUGAAGAAGCUGUUCGUAUACUAGAUGACAAUAAUCAACCACAGAAGAUAAUGGUCGAUUCAGACUAGGAAAACAUUGAGUGUCUAGAAUUGAUCAUUUGACGUAAUGAGUAGAUACGUCGUCGAUGGAAGCCAUCAGCUCAUAUUGCUUUGAAUAGAACUUGCAUAGAUGAAGUUCAUCAUCGAUCGGAAUCGUUAGGAGAGGAGAGGGAUUAUUAUAACGAUUCAGUAAUUUCAGACAGAGACCAUAGAAAAAUUUAAAUAAUGAUACUAAUUAAUCAUCACUUUACUUAAUCCCAUUUAUUUCGAUUCAUUAAAAUUUUUAAUUUCAAUUACGAAAACAAUAUGAAAAA